CAGCCGCCGCGGUAAUACGAGGGGUGCAAGCGUUAUUCGGAUUGAUUGGGUGUAAAGGGUGUGCAGACGGCUUAUUAAGUCACUUGUUAAAUUCUUCGGCCUAACUGAAGGUCUGCAAGUGAUACUGAUGAGCUAGAGGGUGAAGAGAGAAGUGGAAUUCUCGGAGUAGCGGUAAAAUGCGUAGAUCUCGAGAGGAACACCAAUGGCGAAGGCAGCUUCUUGGUCCAUUCCUGACGUUCAUACACGAAAGCGUGGGGAGCAAACAGGAUUAGAUACCCCCGUAGUCCCUGUCUCUUAUACC
RNAcentral lists this ribosomal RNA (301 nucleotides) under uncultured bacterium. RNAcentral describes it as "partial 16S ribosomal RNA". It matches the Rfam family "Bacterial small subunit ribosomal RNA", at positions 509 to 808 of the family's 1533-position model. The record is from RNAcentral.